Molecule: ribosomal RNA, 460 nt
Filed under: uncultured bacterium
Lineage: Bacteria
Description: partial 16S ribosomal RNA
Rfam family: Bacterial small subunit ribosomal RNA
Source: RNAcentral
CCUACGGGGGGCAGCAGUGAGGAAUAUUGGUCAAUGGACGAGAGUCUGAACCAGCCAAGUAGCGUGAAGGAUGACUGCCCUAUGGGUUGUAAACUUCUUUUAUAAAGGAAUAAAACGAGGCACGUGUGCCUUUUUGCAUGUACUUUAUGAAUAAGGAUCGGCUAACUCCGUGCCAGCAGCCGCGGUAAUACGGAGGAUCCGAGCGUUAUCCGGAUUUAUUGGGUUUAAAGGGAGCGUAGAUGGGUUGUUAAGUCAGUUGUGAAAGUUUGCGGCUCAACCGUAAAAUUGCAAUUGAUACUGGCAGUCUUGAGUACAGUUGAGGUAGGCGGAAUUCGUGGUGUAGCGGUGAAAUGCUUAGAUAUCACGAAGAACCCCGAUGGCGAAGGCAGCUUACUAAACUGUAACUGACACUGAUGCUCGAAAGUGUGGGUAGCAAACAGGAUUAGAUACCCGAGUAGUC